UUUCUUGGGAUUGAGAUCUCCUCGACCUCUGAUGGCUUCUACAUCUCUCAAGAGAAAUAUAUUCAGGAUCUUCUUGCUCGAGCUGCUCUCAGUGAUGACCGCACUGUUGUGACUCCUAUGGAGCUCAACGUUCAGCUUCGUGCCUCUGAUGGUGACCCUCUUCCUAAUCCCACUCGCUAUCGUCACCUUGUUGGUAGCCUUGUCUAUCUUGCUGUUAUGCGUCCUGACAUCUCCUAUCUCGUUCACAUCCUGAGUCAGUUUGUUUCAGCCCCCACCUCUGUCCAUUAUAGUCACCUUCUCCAUGUUCUACGAUAUCUUCGUGGCACGAUCUCUCAGCGUCUUUUCUUUCCCUGCUUCAGUUCUCUUGAGCUCCAGGCUUACUCUGAUGCUACCUGGGCUAGUGAUCCCUCUGAUCGACGCUCAUUGUCUGCUUACUGUGUCUUUCUUGAUGGCUCUCUUAUUGCCUGGAAGACCAAGAAACAGACUGCAGUUUCUCGCUCGAGUACAGAGGCUGAGCUGCGUGCCAUGGCUAUGUUGACAGCUGAGGUGAUCUGGUUACGAUGGUUACUUGAGGAUUUUGGUGUGUCUGCUACUACCUCGACU
This 603-nucleotide ribosomal RNA is filed under the name Triticum aestivum (bread wheat). RNAcentral describes it as "partial small subunit ribosomal RNA". The record is from RNAcentral. Lineage: Eukaryota; Viridiplantae; Streptophyta; Magnoliopsida; Poales; Poaceae.